GUAUCCUUACCUGAAUACAUAGGGUAAGGAGGCGAACCGGGGGAACUGAAACAUCUAAGUACCCCGAGGAAAAGAAAUCAACCGAGAUUCCGAAAGUAGCGGCGAGCGAAAUUGGACUAGCCCUUAAGCUUUACACGCGUUAGACGAACGGUCUGGAAAGUCCGACGAUACAGGGUGAUAGUCCCGUAGUUGACGACGUGUGUUCAGUGAAAUCGAGUAGGGCGGG
RNAcentral lists this ribosomal RNA (226 nucleotides) under Vibrio parahaemolyticus. RNAcentral describes it as "partial 23S ribosomal RNA". It matches the Rfam family "Bacterial large subunit ribosomal RNA", at positions 148 to 421 of the family's 2925-position model. The record is from RNAcentral. Lineage: Bacteria; Pseudomonadati; Pseudomonadota; Gammaproteobacteria; Vibrionales; Vibrionaceae.